UUGCGGACGGGUGAGUAACGCGUAAAGAACUUGCCCUUUAGACUGGGAUAACAGAGGGAAACUUCUGAUAAUACUGGAUAAGUUAGUAUAUCGCAUGAUUUGCAAAUGAAAGCUACGGCACUAAAGGAGAGCUUUGCGUCCUAUUAGCUAGUUGGUAAGGUAAGAGCUUACCAAGGCGAUGAUAGGUAGCCGGCCUGAGAGGGUGGACGGCCACAAGGGGACUGAGAUACGGCCCUUACUCCUACGGGAGGCAGCAGCC
Molecule: ribosomal RNA, 259 nt
Filed under: uncultured Leptotrichia sp.
Lineage: Bacteria; Fusobacteriati; Fusobacteriota; Fusobacteriia; Fusobacteriales; Leptotrichiaceae
Description: partial 16S ribosomal RNA
Rfam family: Bacterial small subunit ribosomal RNA
Source: RNAcentral